This is a long non-coding RNA of Pyrus x bretschneideri (Chinese white pear), 1023 nucleotides long. RefSeq lists it as uncharacterized. The transcript has 2 exons. Lineage: Eukaryota; Viridiplantae; Streptophyta; Magnoliopsida; Rosales; Rosaceae. The record is from RefSeq and is a predicted model, not a curated record.
AUGACAUUGUCAAUUUUAAAAGAUGAGGUAUGAAAGUGUCAUGACACUAAUAGUUGAGGUAGUUUUUUGUACUUUACCCAAAAAAAAUUAUGGAACUAAUAUAAAGCUUAACCGAUGAAGUGGAAAUACACGUGGAGGUGCUGGAGGGAGAGUCUUGCGAACUCGCUUUUUAGGCGAGUGCUGCUAGCAUUUCUCCAAUAUUUUUACCCGGGCUGCUACUAUUCGUUUCAGAAAAAGCCAGUCGUCAAAAUCCGACCCGGUAAGAAGGGUCUCCAAAGCUUAAAACCCUAGGACCCGCCAUCAACCAAAAUCAGAGAGAGUGCGGGUAAGUAUUCGACCCAAAAAAGUGAUGUCAGUGUCAGUGCGGCGAAAUACGAGCUGAGACGGAACCUGUACAAGGCCCUCUGCAAGGACCCAAGCCUUCCAAGCGAUCUGCGCGAGGAGAACCGCUUCAAGCUCUCCAAGCUGCCCCGGAACAGCUCCUUCACGCGCUUCAGGAACCGCUGCAUCUUCUCCGGCCGCGCACGCGCCGUCUACGAGACCUUCCGUAUGUCCCGUAUCGUUUUCCGUUCUCUUGCCUCCAAAAGGCAUGGUCAAUGGCGUUAAGAAAGCGUCUUGGUAGCCUCCCAAAACGAUUAUAGGAUUUGUUUCCCCAGAAGUUUGGGGUAAAAUUGGAAGAAGAGUGGAGUCAAAGAAGGGAAAUGAGAAUGAAGAGAACAGCAGCAGCAAGGAAGGAAUAUUAACAGCAGCAACAAGGACGUGUCACUUAUGAUAAAAGCAAGUACAUUCGAAGGAUGCAUAUGCAUAUUAGUUUUCGUUUUUCUUUAGAGAAUGACGGUUUGGUCCGUUCACCUAGUGAACAUCAGUAAAAGUUAUCAUGCAAAGUCAUGAGCCUGUCAGUGAGUUAUAUGGGUGGGCAUGGUUCGUCCGGUUUACUAUAAAAAAACAGAAAACAAAAACCUGAAGAAUUUGCAUUGGUUUGGUUGUAGAUCGUCAGUGAUAACUUCUUUGGAUUUCUGUGAA